This 72-nucleotide transfer RNA is filed under the name Bos taurus (domestic cattle). It matches the Rfam family "tRNA". From Rfam's summary of the family: Transfer RNA (tRNA) molecules are approximately 80 nucleotides in length. Their secondary structure includes four short double-helical elements and three loops (D, anti-codon, and T loops). Further hydrogen bonds mediate the characteristic L-shaped molecular structure. tRNAs have two regions of fundamental functional importance: the anti-codon, which is responsible for specific mRNA codon recognition, and the 3' end, to which the tRNAs corresponding amino acid is attached (by aminoacyl-tRNA synthetases). tRNAs cope with the degeneracy of the genetic code in two manners: having more than one tRNA (with a specific anti-codon) for a particular amino acid; and 'wobble' base-pairing, i.e. permitting non-standard base-pairing at the 3rd anti-codon position. RNAcentral also lists the same sequence under 4 other names. Lineage: Eukaryota; Metazoa; Chordata; Mammalia; Artiodactyla; Bovidae. The record is from Rfam by way of RNAcentral.
CCCCUAUUGGCUUAGAGAGUAAAGUGUCUGCCUGCAAUGCAGAAGACCCGGGUUCAAUCCCUGAGUUGGGAA